GAUGAACGCUGGCGGCGUGCCUAAUACAUGCAAGUCGAGCGAACAGACGAGGAGCUUGCUCCUCUGACGUUAGCGGCGGACGGGUGAGUAACACGUGGAUAACCUACCUAUAAGACUGGGAUAACUUCGGGAAACCGGAGCUAAUACCGGAUAAUAUAUUGAACCGCAUGGUUCAAUAGUGAAAGACGGUUUUGCUGUCACUUAUAGAUGGAUCCGCGCCGCAUUAUCUAGUUGGUAAGGUAACGGCUUACCAAGGCAACGAUGCGUAGCCGACCUGAGAGGGUGAUCGGCCACACUAGAACUGAGACGCGGUCCAGGCGCCUACGGGAGGCAGCAGUAGGGAAUCUUCCGCAAUGGGCGAAAGCCUGACGGAGCAACGCAGCGUGAGUGAUGAAGGUCUUCGGAUCGUAAAACUCUGUGAUUAGGGAAGAACAAAUGUGUAAGUAACUAUGCACGUCUUGACGGUACCUAAUCAGAAAGCCACGGCUAACUACGUG
Molecule: ribosomal RNA, 497 nt
Filed under: uncultured bacterium
Lineage: Bacteria
Description: partial 16S ribosomal RNA
Rfam family: Bacterial small subunit ribosomal RNA
Source: RNAcentral